GCUUAUGCGUUGUUGGGUAGGGGAGCGUUCUGUAAGCCUGUGAAGGUGUGUCGUGAGGCAUGCUGGAGGUAUCAGAAGUGCGAAUGCUGACAUAAGUAACGAUAAAGCGGGUGAAAAGCCCGCUCGCCGGAAGACCAAGGGUUCCUGUCCAACGUUAAUCGGGGCAGGGUGAGUCGACCCCUAAGGCGAGGCCGAAAGGCGUAGUCGAUGGGAAACGGGUUAAUAUUCCCGUACUUGGUGUUACUGCGAAGGGGGGACGGAGAAGGCUAUGUUGGCCGGGCGACGGUUGUCCCGGUUUAAGCGUGUAGGUGUGUGUUCCAGGUAAAUCCGGUU
This 333-nucleotide ribosomal RNA is filed under the name Salmonella enterica subsp. enterica serovar Paratyphi B. Its description in RNAcentral is "partial 23S ribosomal RNA". It matches the Rfam family "Bacterial large subunit ribosomal RNA", at positions 1213 to 1547 of the family's 2925-position model. Lineage: Bacteria; Pseudomonadati; Pseudomonadota; Gammaproteobacteria; Enterobacterales; Enterobacteriaceae. RNAcentral also lists the same sequence under 2 other names. The record is from RNAcentral.